This 398-nucleotide ribosomal RNA is filed under the name uncultured bacterium. RNAcentral's name for it is "bacterial SSU rRNA". It matches the Rfam family "Bacterial small subunit ribosomal RNA", at positions 30 to 425 of the family's 1533-position model. The record is from RNAcentral.
AUUGAACGCUGGCGGCAUGCCUUACACAUGCAAGUCGAACGGUAACGGGCCUUCGGGUGCCGACGAGUGGCGAACGGGUGAGUAAUGCAUCGGAACGUACCUUUCAGUGGGGGAUAACGUAGCGAAAGUUACGCUAAUACCGCAUAUUCUGUGAGCAGGAAAGCAGGGGAUCGCAAGACCUUGCGCUGAUUGAGCGGCCGAUGUCAGAUUAGCUAGUUGGUGAGGUAAAGGCUCACCAAGGCGACGAUCUGUAGCGGGUCUGAGAGGAUGAUCCGCCACACUGGAACUGAGACACGGUCCAGACUCCUACGGGAGGCAGCAGUGGGGGAAUUUUUGGACGAAAUGGGGGGCGAACCCCUGAUCCAGCCAUGCCGCGUGAGUGAAGAAGGCCUCGGUUG